Molecule: ribosomal RNA, 346 nt
Filed under: uncultured bacterium
Lineage: Bacteria
Description: partial 16S ribosomal RNA
Rfam family: Bacterial small subunit ribosomal RNA
Source: RNAcentral
CCUACGGGGGACAGCAGUGAGGAAUAUUGGUCAAUGGACGAGAGUCUGAACCAGCCAAGUAGCGUGAAGGAUGAAUGCCCUAUGGGUUGUAAACUUCUUUUAUAGGGGAAUAAAAUGUGCCACGUGGGGGAUUUUGUAUGUACCAUAUGAAUAAGGAUAGGCUAACGCCGUGCCAGCAGCGGCGGUAAUACGGAGGAUCCGAGCGUUAUCCGGAUUUAUUGGGUUUAAAGGGAGCGUAGGUGGCUUGUGAAGUCAGUUGUGAAAGUUUGCGGCUCACCCGUAAAAUUGCAGUUGAAACUGGCAGUCUUGCUUCCAGUAGAGGUGGGCGGAAUUCGUGGUGUCGCGG